UGAGGUGUUGCAAGCAGAUACACAUGUGCUGUAGCUGUGCUUUAGAUUUGGAUUCGCCUCUGGGGACAGGCAGUGAUAAGUGUUAAGAGCUGUUUAGAUCCCAAACUGUUGUUUCUGAAUCGACUUCCAGUGAGAGCAGAAGACACGAGGGUGAGGGAGCAGCCGCUUCCCCUGCCAGGAGCAUCCUGCUGGGACAGGAGGCACCCCGAGCUCUCCAUGCUCUCUCAGCAGCCUGGGUUAAUGGCCAGGCUGAUGCUGGUGGUAGGGUUUCCCCACAACUGUGGGGAAAAAGGGUUUGCCCUUGUUCAGUGCCUGCCCCCGGGAUUUUGCCUGUCAGCUGCAGGGGCAGGUUUGGGUCUGUCGAGGCAGUUCCCCUGUGGAAAGAGGCUGCUGUGAUUAAUGACCAGUGAUGAAUGAGAGGGAAAGGGGUAGGGGGAGAGAACUGCCAAGGCUUUAACUCCACUGGGUGCAAAGGUUCAGCCUGCUUUGGAUCUGCCGGCAGGAGGGGAAGGCACGUCCAGGUCCUCAGCCAGCCGGGGUGUUAACAAGCGAGAGGUGAGCCUGGGUGAUUAGGAUGUCCACGGCUGCGUUGCAUAAAUCAGACUUGGAACGCCAGGAAAAGUCUCCAGGGUGAUGAAAUGUCUAAGUGUCAUCAGCUCUGCAGAGAUAAUUAGAACCAGAAAAGCACCGGGAGGUAAAAUGGCACAGAUCAGUGAAAACAGGCUUGUGGGCUCGGGAUCCUCGUGGAUCUGCGCUGACUGCAGGCUGGUGAGGGGGGGGAUGGCCAUGGGGGAGGCUGGGUGUUUAUGGAGGAGUUGCAGGGGUUAAUCCUCCUCAAUCUUGGAGACAACCACCUCUGAAAGAGGGAAGUCUUCCUGCCAAAUGUGAUUCCCUGCUUAUUCGGAUGCCUUGAACAGAAAGUGAGGAAUGGAGGGGAACGGCGGGGAUCCACUGCUGCUCUGCCUGUGCAGUCAGUGCGAGGGAGGGCGACCCCCCUGCCUCACUCUGGGCUUGGCCUCUGUGAACUGUAAAUCCCAGCCCUGUAACGUGGGGGUUGGUGUCAUCCUGGGGGACCCCGCUGGGGGCCAGGAGGCUGUGUGGGACCUUAGGCUGAGCAGAGUCACAGUGUGGGUACAAUGUCCCCAGGAGCCACCGGCAUCUCCUCCAGUGGUGACCACACUCUGAGGACAGGUCCGCCCGGACCAUCCCCAGAGGUCCUGUCCCACCUUCAGUCAGUCGGGGACUGUGGGAGGGAGCUCUGGCAGCUGCAGCUGCUCUGCUGCCAGCACCACAUGCUUGUCCAGCUGCGGCAUGGAGGCUCGUGGCCAGCCAACAUGAGGACAGGAGCCACUAUUUCCAGUGGCUUGGUGGUGGUCGUGAAGAAGACCCUGUGUGUCCUCAUGGAGCCAUCACAAAGCUAGUUCCUCGCAGGAGAGCCUCAUGUGGGGCCGUGGCUGGUGCUGGCUGAGCCCCGUGGAGCAGGAUUGCUCCUGGGCAAGUCGCCGUGCUGCUGGAAGCCACCUGAGCUGUGCAGACAGGCUCAGAGCUGAGCUGCUGCAACACGUCCGCCUCCAGGCGCUGCGGUGGUGAAGCUGUUCAGCUUUCAAGCCUCCUUGAAGGAGGCAAGGCUGUGAAGCAAUGUGGAAGUUAAACAGCAGCAGCCACUUGAGCAUCUUUGACGUCAGGUCUGACUGGCUGGUGGCAGCGGCAGGGUUAUUUUGCAAAAUAGCCAUGAAGUAUCUGGCGGGGUUUUGUUUUUCUAGCUGCCUCCUUGCUGGUGCCCCAAAGAUUUACAGUGAAGGGCAAAUGUUUGCUCUCUCCCCUUGUACCUGCCUGUGCCCAAGUGCUUGCUGAUGCUGUGCUCCUAGCUCGGGAGGAGCUCUUUGCUGGCUGUGAAAUCUCUGCCUGGAUUAAGUGUCAAAAGGCAAGUCCUUGGCUUAUGGGAAGAGCACACUUGACCUCUGACUCCUCAGAGCUGCGCUCUCCCUUGGGAGGAAGUGUUGGUUCAGGCCCUGAACAAAGCACUGGCUGUCAUGAGCAUGACCUGCCCGCCCCGGCAGUGACAGGCUGGGCUGGGGUCAGAUUUAUGCUCCGGAGGGGAGGAGGAAGAGACAGAAGACCCCGUGACCUGGAAGCUUAGAGGUGACCAGCUCAACUUACUGAGAAAAGCAAAGCUACGUUGCCUCCUGUGUUGGUCACAAUACAUUGUCCAGGCAGAUGGGCCACUGGCACAUCCAGCACCCCUCUCCCUGAAUUCCUGCUAACAUCUUUGCAGCUUCUCCAGGUCCCACAGAAGAUGUCCGCAGUAGCAAACUUGGCCCUAGCCUGGACUUAAGACAACAUUACAUGUGGUCUGUGGUAUUUGUGCAAAAUGGGAGGUGAGCGCAGACCCUGCCAGCUGCCAGCCAGGUGUGGAUGAGGGGAGGAGCAGUGUCUGUACCCUCUGUACCUGGUGUUGCUUUGCUUUACUACCAGGAGAAAGAUUGUUCAUCAGCUGCUGUGAACCCAGACCUAGGACAGAUGAAGAUUUUGUGGCAAGGAACAACCACCACAUAACCAAAGCCCUCCUGCAUGCUAGGGGCAGAGCUCCCUCCCGCUCCGGCAGCUUACGGGUCUUCUGCACCUCCUGCCUCCGUGUCCCUCACGCCCCAGAGGAUCAGCUGUGCUUCUGUUGGCUGGGAAGAGACCGAAAUCAGGGCAUUUUGCUGUGCGUUUGCGUGGGAGGGCUGCUGUUAGCAUGGGCGUGAGAGCCGCACAUCUGAGAAACCAAUACAAGGAGAGGGGCCGCGCACGUGAAGCGGCUCAGGGCAGCGGGCCACGUUCCUCCUUUAGAUCUGCUCGGUGCUGACAAACCCAUUAGUGGCAGCUCGAUGCCGCUGCGAGCAGGGCUUUGCUGAGAGCCAGAGCCCCGUGGGCUGCCGAUGGUGUCUGAGCCACCAGAGCCUGUCCUGCAUGGCGCACGGAGCGGCCCCACAGCGGCAUUUUGGGGAGCUCUCGGCCUAGGGAUGGGUACUGCUGAGUCAGUUCCCUUCCCCAUUCCCCUCCUCGAGCCCUGCUGACAUGGCUUCCUGGCCCGGUGCUGUCAGGAAGAGGUGGUUUGGUUUUUGGGGAGGGCGUGAGUGUGUGUGCGGCCCGGCCUGGCCCACGAGGGCGUGAGAAGGGCAAGGAACCAUCCGCCCAGGCCAGCUGCUUCCUCCACUAGAGCACCGAGACGGAGCCCUGCCAUACCCAGACUGUUUGGAAACAUGUUGAUAAACUUCCAAACGUCUCUUUCACAAUCCAGAUGUGCUCGCCUUGGCUGUAAACCCUCAUCUGAAGAACAGGUGUGCUAUAAUGUUUCUAACAGUGGCCCCAAAGCCAGCUGGAGGCUUGAGCUGAGCGGGGGCCAAGGGGCUGGUGCCAUAUAGGAUAUGGAUACCGGGGCAGGGACAGGUGAGGCGGUGAGCUGUAGGUCAGCCGUAGUUCACAGCAACCUGGAAUCAGAUGGAGGGAAGGCAGGGACGGUGCCAGAACAUCCCCAGCCCACAGUCUCUGCUCAGCAGCACCAGAGCCAUCUCUGGAGAGGCUUCCCCGGCUGUAUGGGCAAGCUGGGUGCACCCAUGGGGUGGAAGCACGGGGCUGGAGCUGGCCACCAGCCUUGGUGGUAUUUUCUGUGGUUUCCCUCUGCGCUCCCACCAGCUCCCCGCUGGCUCUGCUGGAAACACUGAAAAGAGGGAGAUGCUUCUUUGGGCCAAGCUUCAAGUGUGCCUUGGGCCUGGAAAGCAGACAUCCUACCCGGGGUGGGGAAAGGUGCCUUGUUCUGCGCCUGGAGUAACCCCUGUCCCUGUAGGAAGAGGAUGCUACUUCAUCCAGAGCUUCUUGCUCUGCUCAGGAGGUGGUGGCCUGAUGUGGUGCAGCAUGGAAAGCAGCUUCCCUCCUCUUCUCUGCACUUGCCCUACACUUAUUUCUUCGUUAAACUCUCAUUCCUCUUUAUUCUUGUUUCCAGUACAAACCUGGGCCUCGCUGCAGGCUCUAGGAGCGUAUGCCACACCUGGGCGUGGGGUGGGUGACAGCAGAGGCAGCGUGGCAGCCGGUGAGGGGGCUCCUGGAGCUGUGAUGCCACUGGAGAGCUGGAUUCCCAGCCUGUGAAGUCAUCGCUGGGAAAUUGGGUACUCAGCCUAAUCCCAAUAAUUACCCAAUGGGACUGUAAAGUGUAAAUGAACUAGCCUAUUGCCUGAUGACUGACUACUUGAGCUCUAACACACACCACCUAAUAAUUGGCGCUUUCUGCAGUUCUCUAAGAUUCACUUAUUAAUAAGCUAUUUAACAUGCACUUGAAAUAACCGCAUUGUAACAAUCUGAGAUCAUUUCUCACACAGUCCUUCCAGCUCCCAAAGUGGUAGGAAAGCAUCUAAAAUUGUGUGAGGGGAGUGGGCCUGCCAUUUCAGGGUGGCAGAUUAGCCAAGCAAAAAUAUGGAUUCAAUGCCAGCCACAGAGGUCACUUCCAUUUCAGGGUGCGUGUGGCCAUCACCAGGUUUCCUCUGAAGUGCAAAGCUUGAGACUUCCAGCCUGAGUUCCCUAUGCCCUCAGCAGGAGAGGGUCGUAAGGAAGGACCAGAAGCUUGAAGGACAUGGAAGCUGUUGAUUUUUAGGAUGGCUGCUUUGGAAUCAGAAGCAGGAAUGAAAUUACUUUAAUCCCAAACACUCAGUAGAACUCAAAGCUUUACAAUGCUAUUAAGAAAAGUUCGUGAUGGUAGAGAUUUCUCAGAAAAAGCUCCUUCAGCACAGUCUGGCAUUACCUUGUUUCUCCCGUCCCCACUGUUGGGUUGUCUUGUUUGGAUCUUUUUUUUCUCCUCCAGGUUGUGGACCAGCCAUCAGGGAAGGAGAUCUUCUGCCCCAUGGUUCCUGCAUCUCUUCAGCUGUUCUUCCCAUUUCCCCGUUCCUCGCCAGUCUGUUACAAGCUGGUGUUCAUCAGCCACCUCAGGAAUAGCCUUCUGGAGUUGCUGAAGGGGCUUGAAAUAACGUGAUGGAUAAAUAAGGAGCCAGCUGUGCUCUGCAGCCAGCCCCACCAGAGCCUUUCUGCAGCAGUAGCCCACAGCGAUCUCCUCUCUGCCUCACUCCUCACUCCCAUCCCUUGGGUUCUGCCAUCUGUUCCUGCUCUCCAGGUUUCUCCUCCUUCACAGCAGCAUGUUUUCCUCUCGUGUUGUAUCCUCCUUUCCAGCGUGUGGUCUCAGCCCCCGGUAACGUACGGACAUGUGUUUAGACAACAGCACGACCAAAGAGUCUGGCCAGGGGACACCCACUUGGCUGGGCUGUGCCUCCCGCCCCCGACUCGGAGAGGGUCCUGGCUAAACGAAAGCAGAAGGAGCAAUAAACCCAGCUAGGAGGUGCUGGACAA
This is a long non-coding RNA of Anas platyrhynchos (mallard), 5376 nucleotides long. RefSeq lists it as uncharacterized. NCBI's taxonomy places the organism in Eukaryota, Metazoa, Chordata, Aves, Anseriformes, Anatidae. The record is from RefSeq and is a predicted model, not a curated record.